GUGCUCACUUCGGCAGCACAUAUCCUAAAACUGGAACAACACAGAGAAGAUUAGCAUGGCUCCUGCGCAAGGAUGAUAUGCAAAUUCGUGAAGCAUUCUGUAUGUUU
Pongo abelii (Sumatran orangutan) is the source of this 107-nucleotide small nuclear RNA. The record is from Ensembl. Lineage: Eukaryota; Metazoa; Chordata; Mammalia; Primates; Hominidae.